RNAcentral lists this long non-coding RNA (221 nucleotides) under Manihot esculenta (cassava). RNAcentral's name for it is "long non-coding RNA (MESC_LNC013054)". The record is from RNAcentral. Lineage: Eukaryota; Viridiplantae; Streptophyta; Magnoliopsida; Malpighiales; Euphorbiaceae.
CGCAUCUGAAGCAGGCUGCUGUCCCAGCCCGACAAACUCCCCUGUGUAGCCUACCACACUUUGCACAAACUGCAUUAUCCACGCCAGAGCUUGAGCCACUCCCUAGUCCCAGACUAGACUUGACCUUGUUCCAAAACUUGUUCUUCUUGGGCUUCCUAGUGGUGUUACUCCACUUUUUGCUACCUGAAGCUGCUGCACUGAAAGAAAAAGAGCCUGGGGUC